AGAUGUCCAUCUGUCUCCCCAUGUAUCAACACAUCUCUGUCCUCACCUCCUGACCUCAACCCCUCCUUCACCUAAUCCACAGAUGUCCAUCUGUCUCCCCAUGUAUCAACGCAUUGCUGUCCUCUCCUCCAUCAAACACAUUCCAAAGCCUUCUGUCUUUCUUCAGAGAUCCAUUCUAACAGAACACCCAGUCUCUUUCAUUUCCUAUCAUUCAUUUACUAUCUCAAUGUUUAGCACAUUCAUUCUUCCCAUGACAGACUGACCAGGUGAAUCCAGGAUCCCUUAUUGAUGUCACCUUAAAUUCACUUCAAUCAGUGUAGAUGAAGGGGAGGAGACGGGUUAAAUAAUGAUUCUUUGCCAUUCAGAGGGUGAAUGGGCAAGAAAAGAUUGAAAUCAAAUUUGAUUAGUCACAAUGCAGUAAAAAAUAAUGAAUAAGAACUAAAAUUAACAAAUAAUUAAAGAGCAGCAGUAAUAAUAAUCAUAGCGAGACUAUAUGCAGGGGGUACCGGCUAGUAAUGAGACUAUAUGCAGGGGGCACCGGUUAGUAAUGAGACUAUAUGCAGGGGGCACCGGUUAGUAAUGAGACUAUAUACAGGGGGUACCGGUACAGAGUCAAUGUGCGGGGUCACCGGUGUCAUACCUCUGCACCAUCUCUCUGUCUCCUACACCCAGGAUGCUGUGGUCAGAGAGGUCGUAAAUUCCUGGAGGAGAAUAUCUCCUCAUGGCCAGAGUAUUUAGAGAAAGUGAGUUUUCAUAUAGAGAGAGAAGGAGGAUAUACACCCAAAAGGGUCACGUUGUGGCAAUACAGACAGGUGGUUAGUAAAGUAACCUGGAGUAAAGUGAGCCGGUACUCCAGAGGUGAAGAGAGGGCAGGGUGAAAGAAGAGGCCUAAAGUGCAGGAAGGAGCCGUCUAGAAGAGGCCUAAAGGACAGGAAGGAGCCGUCUAGAAGAGGCCUAAAGGGCAGGAAGGAGCAGACUAGAAGAGGGUUGGUCAGUGUCCUCCUAGUCCUCACUGGCUCCGUGGUCAGUAAGGAUCCUUCCUCUGGCUCAGGAGGGGUCGACUAGCUCAACAGGUAGCACUACGGAUCACCUCCAUCCACCUGGAGACAGACAGACAGGUUAGAGACAGACAGGUAGCACUACGGAUCACCUCCAUCCACCUGGAGACAGACAGACAGGUUAGAGACAGACAGGUAGCACUACGGAUCACCUCCAUCCACCUGGAGGAAGACACAGGUAGCACUACCAAACACCACACUACUGAAAACAACAAGAC
Long non-coding RNA from Oncorhynchus tshawytscha (Chinook salmon), 1276 nucleotides. NCBI's taxonomy places the organism in Eukaryota, Metazoa, Chordata, Actinopteri, Salmoniformes, Salmonidae. The record is from Ensembl.